UCUGUUUACCGCGACGAUAGAAAAGCUCCCUCUUCUGAAAUACAUUGAGGACGCUUGCCGGCAGAAUCGAACCAAUAACUAAUUUGCCACUACUGAGUAA
Salvia splendens (bonfire salvia) is the source of this 100-nucleotide small nucleolar RNA. RefSeq annotates it as small nucleolar RNA R30/Z108. The transcript has a single exon. NCBI's taxonomy places the organism in Eukaryota, Viridiplantae, Streptophyta, Magnoliopsida, Lamiales, Lamiaceae. The record is from RefSeq and is a predicted model, not a curated record.